Molecule: ribosomal RNA, 253 nt
Filed under: uncultured bacterium
Lineage: Bacteria
Description: partial 16S ribosomal RNA
Rfam family: Bacterial small subunit ribosomal RNA
Source: RNAcentral
UACGAAGGGGGCUAGCGUUGUUCGGAUUUACUGGGCGUAAAGCGCACGUAGGCGGUUUGGUCAGUUAGGGGUGAAAUCCUGGAGCUCAACUCCAGAACUGCCUUUAAUACUGCCAGUCUCGAGUCCGGAAGAGGUAAGUGGAACUCCUAGUGUAGAGGUGGAAUUCGUAGAUAUUAGGAAGAACACCAGUGGCGAAGGCGGCUUACUGGUCCGGUACUGACGCUGAGGUGCGAAAGCGUGGGGAGCAAACAGG